UGAACAACCUGCCCGAGCGAGGGGGAUAGCCGGCCCAACGGCCGGGUAAUACCGCAUAUGCUCACAGUGCCUUAUGGCGCAGUGAGGAAACCUUCGGGGCGCUCGGGAGGGGUUCGCGACCUAUCAGCUAGUUGGUGGGGUAAUGGCCUACCAAGGCAACGACGGGUAGCUGGUCUGAGAGGAUGGCCAGCCACAGUUGGGACUGAGACACGGCCCAGACCUCCGUACGGGAGCAGC
RNAcentral lists this ribosomal RNA (237 nucleotides) under uncultured bacterium. RNAcentral describes it as "partial 16S ribosomal RNA". It matches the Rfam family "Bacterial small subunit ribosomal RNA", at positions 118 to 352 of the family's 1533-position model. The record is from RNAcentral.